UUUCCUCCAUCUGCCUGCCUGUCUCAGCUGGAAAUCUCCAUCAUCAGUCAGUGGACUGAUGGAUCAUGGCACUAAAACUCCUCAGUAGAAGGCAGCUGCAUUAUCUAAGCGGGGGAACAUGUUAAACAGGUACCAUUAUAAAAGGAAUGACUUCAGGUAAAAUAGAACAAUGAAGAGGCUGUCGUUUUGAAGUCAAAUCUGAAUUUCUCACCUGGCUCUAUUACUUUCUUACUGUGUAAUGCUGGCUUGAUGCAGAUGAGCAGGUAACCAUGGAAGUCGUGAGCUGAGGCUGCAGAGUCUAGAGCCAGAGUGUGGAAUAAACUUGGGUCUCAAAUCACCCCUGGAGCAAAGCACCCAUCUAAUCAGGAACUUCUACUUUCAACUUUACAUGCGUGAGAAAUGAACUUCUAUCAUGUUAGAGAAAUCCUUACACGGCGCCCUUGAGAGCUUUCAUACUGCAAGUCAUCCAUUUUCCUCCCCUCAAACCUGGCAUCGGAGUUUAUUGAAACAAAGCAAAAUAAAACAAAUAGACAA
Molecule: long non-coding RNA, 534 nt
Filed under: Homo sapiens (human)
Lineage: Eukaryota; Metazoa; Chordata; Mammalia; Primates; Hominidae
Description: non-protein coding lnc-TBCCD1-4:58
Source: RNAcentral